Long non-coding RNA from Bubalus bubalis (water buffalo), 571 nucleotides. RefSeq lists it as uncharacterized. The record is from RefSeq and is a predicted model, not a curated record. Lineage: Eukaryota; Metazoa; Chordata; Mammalia; Artiodactyla; Bovidae. The transcript is spliced from 3 exons.
UCUCGAGUCCAGAGCGCGCGCACCAGCGCCGCCAGCUGCUCGGUGACCUCGGCGCGGCCGGGCUCCGCCCGGUAGCGCCCCAGCGCCAGGAACUCGGCCAGCAGCUCAACAAGAGAUCAGCAGGAUGCGUCAUUACGUCAGUGCCCUGAAAUGUUACUUAUUGUUUGAUGAAUAUGUGGUCAUCAUUUAUUAAAUAUCCACCUUGACAUAUCAAAUAGGGCAGCAGCAGGUUACCUGAUGAAAGAAAAAAAAAAAAAAGAAGAAGAAGCAGCAGCAGCAGCAGCAUUAAAGAACAAAGAAUAUGCCCAGAACAAAAGACUGUUCUGUGAAUUAAAACUUGACGUGUUUCUGAAAAAAUACCUUUGUCUACCUUCCCUGGAAAAGGAUACUGGGUUGGACCGUCAAUAAACAAGUUCCAUCACCUUUCUAAUGGACUGACCUGUAACAAAGUGCACCCCUUCCACUGUGAUGUCCAUGCCGUUGACAGCCCCGGACAAGGAACCGUCCAACUCUCUGAUGACUGAGCCGUCGAACACUUCCCAGUAAGCAAUCUGGAAUUGGAGAACGAAGC